This is a long non-coding RNA of Betta splendens (Siamese fighting fish), 739 nucleotides long. RefSeq lists it as uncharacterized. The transcript is spliced from 3 exons. NCBI's taxonomy places the organism in Eukaryota, Metazoa, Chordata, Actinopteri, Anabantiformes, Osphronemidae. The record is from RefSeq and is a predicted model, not a curated record.
UGGGUCACAUUAAGACACUCCUGGUGUGUUAGAAGUACGCCCCCUACUUAUUUCACAUUUUUGAGAGUUUAUCCAAUCAGGUUCAAGAACCAACGUUUCAAAUUUGGCGGACUGGAUACGUCUGCAUUCGCGCUGACCAAUCACAGAACCAGCUUCGCCCCCCCAGACAAACCUGGACCCCUAAAUGUACCUGAAAUUUCGUUUCAGUCACUCCAGUCACAGACAAAAGAAGAAGUCACUCACUGCGCAGUCUACCAUAGGAGGUGGCGCUAAUGUACCUUUCAGUUGGUUGCCACCCGCCAUUUAAAAGACAAAAGAAGAAAAAGUCACUCAGGUCGAAGAAGCGCCCACUUGCUGCUUCCCCAAACGCUGACGCAUGCCAGUUACCGAAACGCGAGGAGGUUGCUUCUCAAACUGAAACGCGGCUACGUUGUAGAAGAGUAGAAGAGUGCUCACCUCAGGAGCAAAGAGUGGUGUCAAGGAAAACAGCUGCAUCCUCCAUCUGCACAGCAGCUGCACUGCUUCCGAUGUCUUCCAACACGUGAAGACAAAAAAGAUCCUCACAUCUCCCCAGCCAACUGCCCAUGACUGUACCUGUUCCACUCCAGGAACUAUGCUUUCAACAUAACUAUGAAUCCUACCCGUUCAUUUUGUGGUCUGCAAAUUGAACUGUGACGGUAACUUAUCCAGCAUUAUAGUGCUGGUGCAUUGGUUAAAAAUAAAGUUGGCUUUGACUAUU